UAAAGUGCUUAUAGUGCAGGU
This 21-nucleotide non-coding RNA is filed under the name Oryzias latipes (Japanese medaka). Its record names the gene ola-miR-20a. RNAcentral also lists the same sequence under 4 other names. The record is from miRBase by way of RNAcentral. Lineage: Eukaryota; Metazoa; Chordata; Actinopteri; Beloniformes; Adrianichthyidae.